RNAcentral lists this long non-coding RNA (1177 nucleotides) under Gadus morhua (Atlantic cod). RNAcentral's name for it is "lncRNA (ENSGMOG00000027455.1)". Lineage: Eukaryota; Metazoa; Chordata; Actinopteri; Gadiformes; Gadidae. The record is from RNAcentral.
GCACACUCUAGACCUGGUUAUCACAAAGGGCCUCAAUGUUUCUGAUCUCUCUGUGACUGAUCCUUCCUUGUCUGACCACUUUUUCCGACAUACAGACAAAAUCAAAUACUGUCAAAAAACGGUAUAUCAAUGAAGAACCCAUGUUCUGCUGAUGAUCUUGUAGAAAACUUUAAUUUGAAAAUUUUGAAAGUCAUGGAUGUCAUUGCACCUUAUAAGGUUAAAACGAUUUCUGGAAAGCAAAAGGCACCCUGGAGAAAAGCUGCUUCUGUAACAGCACAGAAAAAAGAAUGCAGGAAGGUUGAACGCAUCUGGCGUAAAACAAAACUUCAUAUUCACCAUGAUAUCUACAAAGAGAGCCUCCUUGCCUACAAUUUUGACUUAAAAAGUGCUAGAGAAACAUUUUUCUCCAAUAUCAUAAAAACCAAUACUAAUAAUGCAAAAACCCUAUUUGCAACUGUUGACAGACUGACCAACCCCCCAACACAAAUUCCACCUGAUCUCCAUUCCACGCAGAAAUGCAAUGAGUUUGCAGCUUUUUAUACUGAUAAAAUUGAAGGCAUCGGACGCGCCAUCAAUAUCUCCACUUCAAACAAAAAUGUUGGACUACCACCCUGUUCAGGCAAAAGUAACGUGGCAGGGAUGACAUGUUUUAAUGUUAUAGACUCUAAAACUCUUGUGGAAACUGUUACACAACUAAAGCCAUCCACCUGUUGCCUUGAUUCUUUACCUACCAACCUCUUUAAGAAUGUUUUUGACUGCCUAGCAAUAGACAUAUUGCAGAUAGUUAACAACUCUCUCCAGUCAGGCAACUUCCCAAAAGCCCUGAAAACUGCAGUUAUUAAACCCCUUUUAAAAAAGCGGAGCCUAGAUACUUCUAUUAUUAACAACUACAGACCAAUAUCAAAUCUACCCUUCAUAAGUAAAAUCAUUGAGAAAGUUGUCCUCCAGCAACUUAAUCACUUCCUGAGGCCUGUUUCAGGUAGCUGGUUUAACAUACUCUGAGUUUAAUCCUGCGCUCUGAGUUGGUUGACUCAGAGUUCAGGGUUGAAAAGCAACUCUGGGUUUUCGGUUUCAGAACAGUGGGGUGUUCCACAAAGCCGGUUUUAUCACAUAACCGGGUAUAGUACAGCGGAUAAGCAUAACAAUUGUGCACUUUUUGAGAAAAGCAUGAAAUUUC